GGCUCAGAUUGAACGCUGGCGGCAGGCCUAACACAUGCAAGUCGAGCGGUAGCACAGAGAGCUUGCUCUCGGGUGACGAGCGGCGGACGGGUGAGUAAUGUCUGGGAAACUGCCUGAUGGAGGGGGAUAACUACUGGAAACGGUAGCUAAUACCGCAUAAUGUCGCAAGACCAAAGUGGGGGACCUUCGGGCCUCAUGCCAUCAGAUGUGCCCAGAUGGGAUUAGCUAGUAGGUGGGGUAACGGCUCACCUAGGCGACGAUCCCUAGCUGGUCUGAGAGGAUGACCAGCCACACUGGAACUGAGACACGGUCCAGACUCCUACGGGAGGCAGCAGUGGGGAAUAUUGCACAAUGGGCGCAAGCCUGAUGCAGCCAUGCCGCGUGUGUGAAGAAGGCCUUCGGGUUGUAAAGCACUUUCAGCGGGGAGGAAGGCGAUAAGGUUAAUAACCUUGUCGAUUGACGUUACCCGCAGAAGAAGCACCGGCUAACUCCGUGCCAGCAGCCGCGGUAAUACGGAGGGUGCAAGCGUUAAUCGGAAUUACUGGGCGUAAAGCGCACGCAGGCGGUCUGUCAAGUCGGAUGUGAAAUCCCCGGGCUCAACCUGGGAACUGCAUUCGAAACUGGCAGGCUAGAGUCUUGUAGAGGGGGGUAGAAUUCCAGGUGUAGCGGUGAAAUGCGUAGAGAUCUGGAGGAAUACCGGUGGCGAAGGCGGCCCCCUGGACAAAGACUGACGCUCAGGUGCGAAAGCGUGGGGAGCAAACAGGAUUAGAUACCCUGGUAGUCCACGCCGUAAACGAUGUCGAUUUGGAGGUUGUGCCCUUGAGGCGUGGCUUCCGGAGCUAACGCGUUAAAUCGACCGCCUGGGGAGUACGGCCGCAAGGUUAAAACUCAAAUGAAUUGACGGGGGCCCGCACAAGCGGUGGAGCAUGUGGUUUAAUUCGAUGCAACGCGAAGAACCUUACCUGGUCUUGACAUCCACAGAACUUAGCAGAGAUGCUUUGGUGCCUUCGGGAACUGUGAGACAGGUGCUGCAUGGCUGUCGUCAGCUCGUGUUGUGAAAUGUUGGGUUAAGUCCCGCAACGAGCGCAACCCUUAUCCUUUGUUGCCAGCGGUUAGGCCGGGAACUCAAAGGAGACUGCCAGUGAUAAACUGGAGGAAGGUGGGGAUGACGUCAAGUCAUCAUGGCCCUUACGACCAGGGCUACACACGUGCUACAAUGGCAUAUACAAAGAGAAGCGACCUCGCGAGAGCAAGCGGACCUCAUAAAGUAUGUCGUAGUCCGGAUUGGAGUCUGCAACUCGACUCCAUGAAGUCGGAAUCGCUAGUAAUCGUAGAUCAGAAUGCUACGGUGAAUACGUUCCCGGGCCUUGUACACACCGCCCGUCACACCAUGGGAGUGGGUUGCAAAAGAAGUAGGUAGCUUAACCUUCGGGAGGGCGCUUACCACUUUGUGAUUCAUGACUGGGGUGAAGUC
RNAcentral lists this ribosomal RNA (1474 nucleotides) under Klebsiella pneumoniae. RNAcentral describes it as "bacterial SSU rRNA". It matches the Rfam family "Bacterial small subunit ribosomal RNA". The record is from RNAcentral. Lineage: Bacteria; Pseudomonadati; Pseudomonadota; Gammaproteobacteria; Enterobacterales; Enterobacteriaceae.